AACGUAGGGGGCUAGCGUUGUCCGGAAUUACUGGGCGUAAAGGGCACGCAGGCGGUCUGUAAAGCGGUGGGUGCAAUCUCGAGGCUCAACCUCGAAACUGCUUGCCGAACUGGCAGACUAGAGCACGGGAGAGGACAGUGGAAUUCCCGGUGUAGCGGUGGAAUGCGUAAAUAUCGGGAGGAACACCAGUGGCGAAGGCUGCUGUCUGGAACGUUGCUGACGCUGAGGUGCGAAAGCUAGGGGAGCGAAC
RNAcentral lists this ribosomal RNA (250 nucleotides) under uncultured bacterium. RNAcentral describes it as "partial 16S ribosomal RNA". It matches the Rfam family "Bacterial small subunit ribosomal RNA", at positions 524 to 773 of the family's 1533-position model. The record is from RNAcentral.